RNAcentral lists this ribosomal RNA (245 nucleotides) under uncultured bacterium. Its description in RNAcentral is "partial 16S ribosomal RNA". It matches the Rfam family "Bacterial small subunit ribosomal RNA", at positions 524 to 768 of the family's 1533-position model. The record is from RNAcentral.
UACGGAGGGUGCGAGCGUUAUUCGGAAUUAUUGGGCGUAAAGGGCGCGUAGGCGGUUUUUAAAGUCAGAUGUGAAAUCCCGGGGCUCAACCCUGGAAGUGCAUUUGAGACUUAGAGACUUGAGUAUGGGAGAGGGAAGUGGAAUUCCUGGUGUAGAGGUGAAAUUCGUAGAUAUCAGGAGGAACACCGGUGGCGAAGGCGACUUCCUGGACCAAUACUGACGCUGAGGCGCGAAGGCGUGGGGAG